RNA transcript from Anopheles coluzzii, 1875 nucleotides. RefSeq lists it as uncharacterized. The transcript has 5 exons. NCBI's taxonomy places the organism in Eukaryota, Metazoa, Arthropoda, Insecta, Diptera, Culicidae. The record is from RefSeq and is a predicted model, not a curated record.
UCCGCUACAGUUGCCGGUGUAAAUUCUGAAAGUGGAUUAGAAAAGUUAAUAAAUGUACGAUAACAAGGAUAAUAUAGCAGACAAAACUCAAACUAGCCUUGUGUUUUGUGCCUCGCAACACUUCGGAGGACCUACUUGAUAGUUUGCAAAAGAAUGAAUAAUCGAAUAAUUAUGGCCAACAACACAUUCUCAGCCAACGAUGAUGUCCUUAACAUGAAGGGCACCGAGGAAAAUGAUGUAAAGAUCGACAUGGAUUUUCCAUCUCAGGAACCAAACAACAUGAGUGCCAAAUGCUGUGGACAACCGGAGAAUAAGCCGGAGCUGUGCAAAGUGGGUCUGUUUCCGAAAUAGCAGAUAAAUUGUAAUGCGUUCUGAAAAAAGGAAUAACAGAAGUCCGUGAUCCUUUUUGAACGAUUUUUUUUUUACAAUUUUCGGGUCAUGAAAAUGAAAAUGCAUAAGCGAUCCCCAACGUCCUGCACUGAUCGAUGCGGGCAUGGCAGCACAAUAUAUGUGCAAGAAAAGUAUACAAACACUGGACAGCCUUACCGAUGCACUAGUUGCGCGGGCUCCCCAGGAAAAGCAAUUCAUAAAAAUCGUCAGAAACGAAGAAACGCAAGAACUAAAAGAUGCGGAACAGAACGAAGACUUUCCUUUUAUUAUUGCCCGGACGCAGCCCGACGAGCGCUACUCACCAAGCCGAGCCCGCGAAAUAACUGAUAUGCAAAGAAUUCCCUCCAACAAUACUUGCCUGUGUUUUUCCGUCAGUGUUCUUGUUAGUGGUGUGGUAUGGUUCUUCGUAUGGUGUGGUCUAAAAGUGCUCGACAUGGAUAAGCUUACACAAUUUUGAUGAUACAUAUUAACUAGCAUCAUGAGAAAGUUAAACUACUUCUUUUUGUUUUUAUUUGGCGAAACAAGUGUACUCGGUAUGUUCUGCUAUAAGCCACUACUGAACAUGGCCAUUUAAUAGGUUUUCACAGGUUCGGAUAAUAUUGAGACAUUUUCUUGACUGUAUCUUAAGGGGAAAUGGGCUCUAUAGCAGCUUUUUCGAACAAAUCCAAUAGGAAUUUCCAAUCUGACUGUUCCCAAAGAGUGCUGUAGAGUUCAAUUCCCAUCACAUCCGAUUAUGUUAGAUAUAUUGUUCAGUCGAGCGAGUGGACGAUUGCAUUACGAUACGAGAUUGAAUACAAACAGUGCCUUACUCAUAUACACCAAACAUGACUAUACGCUUAGAUAUAUGCAAUAAUACAGGACCGAGUGUAUAACAUCUACAACAUACCUGUAAAACACAUAAGAAGUCAUAUUACAUUCAUCCAAAUGGCAACAAUUGGCAAGGAAAACUAUAGCCUUCAUGAGCAAGUAGAUCCAGAAAAGUGCACAAGAAACACUCGGCAAUAUACCACACUCUUGUGCAUCACACAAUUAUACGAUACUUAUACUCCUAGUAAUAGUUUUAUUUAAAACGAUUCUUAGUACCAAAACUCCAAUUUGCCUGAGCGAAUAUCAAAAUUAAAAGAAUGCUCAAUGUAAUCCGAUCGUGUUCAUGUUUUCACAACGGCACCAUAAAAUGUAUCAGGAACAUAAGUGAUAUUGCUAUUUAUUGAGCAUUUAGAUUUGCAUGUUAUGCGAAAAACUCGUAAUAAGGGGUACUCGUUAUAGCAGGUUAGACUGAACUUGUUCUAUUGAAUCAACUGUUGAACGAUACCGAAAAGGCAGAGUGUUGGAUAAAAAAUAUUAAGAAAUUUUAAAUGUUAAUCAAAAUCAAGAAAUGAAGAAAAGUAACGAAAAUUUACAAAAUCAAUCAAAAACGAAUUUCCUGUUCUUAUUAUAAUUGCUACAAUACGUAAAAUAAAGACUCAAGAGGGGUAAAAAAGAAAA